This 5164-nucleotide long non-coding RNA is filed under the name Brassica napus (rape). RNAcentral describes it as "long non-coding RNA (BNAP_LNC014901)". Lineage: Eukaryota; Viridiplantae; Streptophyta; Magnoliopsida; Brassicales; Brassicaceae. The record is from RNAcentral.
UUGAGCCUGUGGUGAGGCCAACAACGAUGGAUUCAAAGUACCCUUUGCUGGAGAUCGAAGAGGUAGGUGGUGGUGAUGAAGCUGGCUCUAGCUCCUUCCGCGGUGUUAGCCAUCCUCCAGAGCCUGACGACAUGGACCUCAUAACAACUGUUUAUGUCCCUACCGCCACUAAAGGACCUUUCCUCGAGGAUCUCUCCCUCUGCGUCCCUGAGCCUGCCACAUCUAUGGCUCGUGCCUCUCAGAACACAGACAACUCUCUCCCGCCGCAAGAUUCAGACAAGGAAUGCGUUUGGGACGCGAGCCCACACAACAGCAGCGUGGAAAGCAUAAACUUCGCAAGGGCCAUGAGUAUGGCCAACAGCACUUCCGCUGAUCAGCAGAGGAACGAUGUCGUGCUCAGCAUGGACAAGAACUACAUUGAUAACAGGAGCAUCAACAUGGUGUUCGAUUCGUUCGAGAGCAGAGCGAGCGACAGCAGCUGCUUGAGCGAAGAGAGCAGCUGGAGCAACUUCACGGGGAGUCUCAACAAGCCGCACAAAGGGAACGAUCCGAGGUGGAACGCUAUUUUAGCCGUCAGGACGCGGGACGGUGUGCUAGGGAUGAGCCAUUUCAAGCUGCUGAAGCGGUUGGGGUGUGGUGAUAUAGGGAGUGUGUAUCUGGCGGAGCUGAGUGGGACCAGGUGUCAUUUCGCUGUGAAGGUGAUGGAUAAAGCUUCUCUUGAGAAUAGGAAGAAGCUGAAUAGGGCUCAGACUGAGAGGGAGAUUCUGCAGCUGUUGGAUCAUCCGUUUCUGCCGACGUUGUAUACUCAUUUUGAGACGGAUAGGUUCUCUUGUUUGGUUAUGGAGUAUUGUCCUGGUGGUGAUUUGCAUACUUUGAGGCAGCGCCAGCCUGGGAAGCAUUUCUCUGAGUAUGCUGCUAGGUAUGUCUUCGUCUCUCUGUUCCAAAACAAGGCAUUAGCAUUCGGUUUUUGGUUCGAAAAUCACGGUUUUUGUUUGGUUCUAGAAAUUUAGGAACCCUUGGCUAUCUAUAAAAUUCUAUGUAGUUUUGGUUCAGUUAUUUUGGUUUGGGUAGUAGAGUUGGGAACCGGCUCAUAUCUAGGGAGAAAAAUUGGGACUAGUUUGGUUCCGAUCUGGUUUCGUUUUUUGGGUAAUUUUGGAUAAUAUGGGUAAAAAUAUUGGAUAAUUGGGGGUUUCAAUUUAAUUAUCGGAUAAUUGGGAUUAUUUGGAUAAAAAUAUUGGGUAGUUUGGAUAAAAAACUAUCCAGGUAAUUUGAAUAAUUCGGUUUUGAAAGUAUUUUAAGAUAUUUGGUUAUUUGAAAAUUUAAUAUAAUUGAUAUAUUUAGGUAUAUAAUCUAUAUUUUUAAAAUUCGGGUAUCCAUUAUGUUCUCAGUUUCGUUCCGGUUCGGUUUUGUUUUUUCAGUCUGGUAUAGAUCUGUUUGGAUAUUCAUCAAAUUCGGUUUGAUUUCAGUUUUUUCGGUUCAGCACGGUUUGGUUCCUCUGUUCCGGUUCAAAUUUAUAUAUUUUCACGGUUUGAUUCAUAGUUCCAACGUUACCAGAGCUAAGCUAAGUUUCAUUUCAUUCACUGUGAUGACUCACUUUCUUUAUACGUUUCCUUUUUUUUUGGGCAGGUUCUACGCUGCAGAGGUGCUGCUAGCGCUCGAGUAUCUCCACAUGCUCGGCGUUGUCUACAGAGACUUGAAACCCGAGAACGUCCUCGUCCGAGACGACGGUCACAUAAUGCUCUCAGACUUCGACCUCUCCCUAAGAUGCGCGGUUUCACCAACCCUGAUCAAAACCUUCGACUCCGACCCCUCAAAACGCGGCGCCUUCUGCGUCCAACCCGCUUGCAUAGAGCCCACAUCCUCUUGCAUCAUCCAACCCUCGUGCUUCCUACCGCGUCGCAUCUUCCCUACCAAAAAGAACAAGACUCGUAAAACACAAACAGAUUUCUUCAAAUCACAUCACUCGGGAGGAGGUUCUCUCCCCGAGCUGGUGGCCGAGCCCAACACGAGGUCCAUGUCCUUCGUUGGCACGCACGAGUACUUAGCUCCGGAGAUCAUCAAGGGAGAAGGACACGGAAGCGCGGUGGAUUGGUGGACGUUUGGUAUCUUUGUUCACGAGCUUUUGUACGGUAAGACGCCGUUUAAAGGAUCAGGGAACAGAGCUACUCUGUUUAAUGUGGUGGGAGAGCAGUUGAAGUUCCCUGAGUCGCCGGCCACUAGCUACGCGGGGAGGGACUUGGUUCAGGCGUUGCUGGUGAAAGAUCCGAAGAGUAGGUUGGGGACGAAGAGAGGAGCGACGGAGAUAAAGCAGCAUCCGUUUUUCGAAGGAGUGAACUGGGCGUUGAUAAGGUGUAGUACUCCUCCUGAAGUGCCGAGGCAGAUGGAGGUAGAGCCGCCGCCGAAGUAUGGACCGAUUGAUCCUGUUGGGUUUGGUAGUAACAGCAAGAGGAUGAUGGGACCGCCACCUGUAUCAGCGGCAGCAGCAGGAGGAGGAGGAGGAGAUGCAAAAGCUGGUGGGAAGUUUCUAGACUUUGAGUUUUUCUGAAGGCUUUGUUUUUUUCCCUCAGAAGAGUUUGUGUUUGGUUGCUUAAUUAGUAGUUAUAGUCUUCUUAUGUCAAGGGGGUUUAAUAGAUCAGAGUGGAGGGGGUUAGGAGGUUAAAUCUGUCUUCCAUUUGAACCAAAACUUUUGUAAGGACAUGGAAAGCUCCAAGUCUUAAGAAAAUCUCCUUUGGUACUACUACUAUUACUACUGCUGUGUUUGUCGGAAUCUCUUUUUCUUUUGAGUCAAUGGAUUGUUGUCACUGCCAUGCAUGUUAUGGUGGUCCAAGAAGAAACCCUAUGUUCUUCAGACAAAGAAGAGAAAUGAUCAUGUUGUCAGAUUAGGUGAAUGGUAAAUGGUCUACUUUUACUAUAUGCAUUAUUGAUAUAUAUAUAUAUAUAUGUAUUAAUCAAAUUACUGUUUUGUGCGUUUCUGUAAAAAAAAAAAAUUUGAACUGAUACACCCCAAUUUAAAUAAUAUAUUUUCUGGACUAGUAUUCAAACAAUGAGUUUUCUGUUGAAAGGAAUCAAUGCUAAACAUAGUUAUAAAGAUAUAUUGUAGGAGUACAUUUUAAUAGAUGAUUUAGUCUUUUAUGGUGUGUCCCUUUCCAGUCCCAAACAAGUGUACUGUUGUUGCCUUUCCUCAUUGUCUAUAAGACUACUAAUUUGUUGAGCUGAACUUUGGUCCCAUUCCACUCUCCUUGAUUUUGACUGAACCAACCAUGACGGGCGUUUCAUAAGGCGUAUCAAUUUAUGGGCCUUUGGCCCAAUAUUGUAUCACAGUUUUUUUAGAUAGUUUGUUUCGUUCCGCCGUUCCCUUGCGUAAAAUGCCAACGUCUAUUUAAGUAAAGAAUUACUCAAAUAGAAUUAUUUAAAUGUUUUUCCUGUAUUGGUAUAGAGUGAUGUUACAAAGAAAUGAACCAAUGGAUUGAGUAAAACGAAAGUCAAUUAACAAAGCGUGUCUUUGACGUAUGACUUUGCCUUUGCCUUUCUACGUCGGGCUUAAUAGUAUUUUAGAACAUUCGUCGGCACGUGAAAAUUGUGUUCUUUAAUAUUAGCUAAUAUUUUCUUUAGAGGGGUAAUGAUUAUUAUUUUUUAAAUCCAGAGAGCUUAUGUCUUAUUCCCCUUGGAGCAUCUCCAACCCCUAGUUAUUUUCACCUCUAUAUGCUAUAAUAGAAGUAAAAGUGUUCUAUCUCAUCUCUAUUUUCACCUCUAAAAUAGAGAUUACUAUUUUUUCCUCUAUUUAUAGAGUCAUACUUUUUUAUUUUCAAAAUAGUCCUUUAACUUUCAAUUUUUUAUAGUUGUAACCAAAAUAAUUAUAUUUAUAGAGAAAUACAGCUUUUGUAGGAAUAUAAUAACAUUUUUUAUUUACAUAAUAGUCUUUUAACAAAACUUUAGUUUAAAAAAGUUCAUAAGUUUAUGAAAAUAUUUUAAAAGUUAAAAAUAAAUAGGGUUAGUUAUCAAUUUUUAUAAACAAAAUGUAUCUUUUGUAAAAUUAAAAUAGAAUCUUUUGANNNNNNNNNNNNNNNNNNNNNNNNNNNNNNNNNNNNNNNNNNNNNNNNNNNNNNNNNNNNNNNNNNNNNNNNNNNNNNNNNNNNNNNNNNNNNNNNNNNNNNNNNNNNNNNNNNNNNNNNNNNNNNNNNNNNNNNNNNNNNNNNNNNNNNNNNNNNNNNNNNNNNNNNNNNNNNNNNNNNNNNNNNNNNNNNNNNNNNNNNNNNNNNNNNNNNNNNNNNNNNNNNNNNNNNNNNNNNNNNNNNNNNNNUUUUCUAAAUGGGUUUUGUAAAUGAAAAGUUAAAAAUGAAAUCUUCAAUCCCUAUGGUUGUUAUCGAGCAAUGGAGGGAUAUAAUACAGACAUACACAAACUCGUGUUCUGUAUCUUUGUCUCGAAACCAAAAAAAUUAGCCCUGAGGGUUUAUUACCAAAUCACGCGUUAUAUUUAUUCUCAGACAAGAUGGUCCCAUAUUUUGUUUGAUUGAUUUAGUUAAACAUGUUUUUUUUAUAAGGUAUAAAGAGAUUUGUUUUUGGAGUGUUGAAGAUCUCGUAUGAAUGCUGGAUAUGGAAAGAGUUGGUGAGCUUAGUAAAGGUCCUGUCUCAAGAAGACAAUACCUAGACUUUGAAAAUAGAGAUAACGGUAUGCAUCUCGAGUCUCUGAGGGAACGAGCUGCUCGUUACAAGGGAGGAGGAAGACCAGUGAAUCCCACUACGACGUUAGGGAGAGAGCUAAGCCAAGUUCUCAAUGUACACAGAGACGAGAUGAUGAUGAUUGGUGGUGAUAUGAAUGAUUUUCAGGAGUUUGAGCCUGUGGUGAGGCCAACAACGAUGGAUUCAAAGUACCCUUUGCUGGAGAUCGACGAGGUAGGUGGUGGUGGUGGUGGUGAUGAAGCUGGCUCCAGCUCGUUCCGCGGUGUUAGCCAUCCUCCAGAGCCUGACGACAUGGAUCUCAUAACAACUGUUUAUGUCCCUAGCUCCACUAAAGGACCUUUCCUCGAGGAUCUCUCCCUCUGCGUCCCUGAGCCUGCCACAUCUAUGGCUCGUGCCUCUCAGAACACAGACAACUCUCUCCCGCCGCAAGAUUCAGACAAGGAAUGCGUUUGGGACGCGAGCCCACACAACAGCAGCGUGGAAA